Molecule: long non-coding RNA, 1195 nt
Filed under: Phasianus colchicus (ring-necked pheasant)
Lineage: Eukaryota; Metazoa; Chordata; Aves; Galliformes; Phasianidae
Description: lncRNA (ENSPCLG00000011074.1)
Source: RNAcentral
AUGGGCCGGGCGCCAGGCUGCUGGGUGUCAGGGCACCCGAGGGAGCCGGAGGUGGGGCGAGGCGUGGCGUGGAGCCGCAUGCUCACCUGGCCCUGCAUGGCAACAGGCAAUGGAGCUGUAGGUCCCAUCGGGAGCGGACCCGCGCCCGGUUCGAGAGGCAGCAGCGGGUGGCAGAGGAGGGAGGGCAAACUGGCAGCCCCUGGCAACCUGGGGCUGACGGCAGGAGGCUGGGCGCACCGCGGGUUUCCCCCCGCCAGCAGGAUGGUGAACCUGGAGUCCGUGCACGCAGCUGUCCCCGAAGGAGAACGUGGCCCCGGGUGUGGUGGCAGCCAUCACUUCAAGGAGAUCAAGAUGAGCAGCGAUGCGGCGGAUUCCACGGACACCCGGCACGAACCUGACCAAGUAGAGCCAGGUAAGGGGGUCCAGGACACGGGGGGCUGUUCAGCAGAGGGGCAGUGGGGUGCUGGAAGUUGCUGCCUUGCUUUGCUCCACGCCUGUUGCUCUGCAUCGUGCUCCCACUGCCAGCUGGGAGUUGAUCAAAAAUGCGCUCUGGGCGAGGAUUGCACCCAUAUCUUGAUCAGCAUGCAAGCUCCUCUGUCACAGCAGUGAAUCAGUGCGUGGCUCGGCAGUGUCCUCUGUGGUUUCAGCAAGGAAACGUGCUCCUCUCUUGCUAAAUGAAUUAUGCCACUGAAAUAGUCUUGGGCCGCCCAGCUUAGCGCAAAGGUUGUAUGCAGGGUCGAUGCCAGGAAUGUUUCCCCAUAUGCAGGGCCCAGCAACUGUGCCUUUUUUGGCCUCAUCUCUGUAGAAAAAUGGGAGGGACUUAUGGAAUACCCAAAUCCAGCCAGGUUGUUCCAGCCAGCAGGGAACGCCGCUCAUUUUGAAGUGUGAUGGGGUUUCUCAUCCCGCUCCCACCUGAUGCUCAGGCUGCUCUGUGGCUAGAAGCCCCAGAUUUCUUUAAGAAUGUAAAACUGAAGAGCAGAGUGAUCCUGAGAAUGGAACAGCACUGAGUUAUUCUAAUCCACCUACCGCUUCUUGCACUGCCACGAGGUGUGAGAUGCACUGGAAAAUCAAUGCUGUGUUUUCCAGCAUCGCUUCUGCCUGCAGUGGGCUUUGAGGGCAGGAUUCGAGGACAGAACUUCACAAAGGCUUACGGUCAGGUUCCUUUUCAGGCCAAUAAACAGCAAUAAGACAAGCA